GGGAGUAUAGCUCAAUUGGCAGAGCAGGCGGCUUUUAACCGCCUUGUUGCAGGUUCAAUUCCUGUUACUCCCU
This 73-nucleotide transfer RNA is filed under the name Cyanobacteria bacterium UBA11162. RNAcentral describes it as "tRNA-Lys". It matches the Rfam family "tRNA". Rfam says of the family: Transfer RNA (tRNA) molecules are approximately 80 nucleotides in length. Their secondary structure includes four short double-helical elements and three loops (D, anti-codon, and T loops). Further hydrogen bonds mediate the characteristic L-shaped molecular structure. tRNAs have two regions of fundamental functional importance: the anti-codon, which is responsible for specific mRNA codon recognition, and the 3' end, to which the tRNAs corresponding amino acid is attached (by aminoacyl-tRNA synthetases). tRNAs cope with the degeneracy of the genetic code in two manners: having more than one tRNA (with a specific anti-codon) for a particular amino acid; and 'wobble' base-pairing, i.e. permitting non-standard base-pairing at the 3rd anti-codon position. The record is from RNAcentral. Lineage: Bacteria; Bacillati; Cyanobacteriota.